GUCUACGGCUAUGCUACCCUGAACAAGCUCGAUCCUGUCUGAUCUCAGAAGCUAAGCAGGGUCGGACCUGGUUAGUACUUGGAUGGGAGACCACCUAGGAAGACCAGGUGCUGUAGGUG
Molecule: ribosomal RNA, 119 nt
Filed under: Pteropus alecto (black flying fox)
Lineage: Eukaryota; Metazoa; Chordata; Mammalia; Chiroptera; Pteropodidae
Source: RNAcentral